GUUGGGGGGGAUCCAAGUCCAAAAAGAGGACUUGGACCGCCAAUGGAUGGGGUGACGGUUCGUAGGGUCUUUGUAGAUCAACGUAGAAGAAAAGGAAAACUGUUUCCUUGAAACAAGGUGGUGAUUCAUGGAUUUUUGUUUAUUUUGUAUUUUCUGUUCUCAUUUCAUAAAAGCCAUUGGAACAAAGACGCAAGGCUGAACAUGUGUGGAGGAAGUGAUCCUAAUUUCACUGAAGUGGAAAGAUAACGUGGAACUAGUCUUCUGCCAGCCCCCAUCCCUGUCACCAAAGUGGCUCAUCUCCAGGCUCUGAAGUGAAGAGCACCUAUGGGCUCCCUUGUCUAGAAAGUCUCACAGAUUUCUGGGUCCGCCCUGGGCUGCGGGACACUGUGAGCCCCAGAGACCACUUUGCAGCUGCAGUUUAACACGGUAUAAAGCUGGAAUCGGGCCAGACACACAGAAAAGGGGAAACGACUGAGCAAUUAUGUGGUGAUAUGAAUACCCCGUGACCGUGAACAACACGGCCAUAUGUGGACCACGUCAGCACACUCAGGUCCGGAUACUUAAGUGACAAUAGAAGAAAUUCAAGUUCAUCACUGAUAAAACACAGUUUUAAGAGGCAGAUGUGUGUGCACCUCUUUAGAAGGAAAACAGCCCCAAACCUAGAGCGAGGGGGGCCCUGAGCCAUGGCUGGGGACCCCACCCUGAGAACAGUGGGCCGCAGGGGGUGACGCUGCUUCGUCUCGGACUUGCACACCACGCUUGCACACCCGCCUCCGACGGAAGGCUCCCACCUCUGUUCUCCGAUGCCAGGGAAGCCGCACGUCUCACUUCUGCUCCACAUAGAGCUGGCAGGAGUUAACAAGGGAGGCAGGAAAUUUCCGGUUUGAUUUAGAAUGCCAAGAUGUCCUCCUGUCCUCCAAGACAAUCUGUCCAGCUGGGCUGGUGUUUGCCGUGCCAGGAUGUAAAAAGGUUCCAAACAAGGAAGUGAAUGAGCAACAAGCCAGUACUUGGGAUACGUUGGGUCUGAAAAUUAAGAAGCUUAUGGGCUCCCGUCCUGGCGCAGACUAGAGUUUUCAGGAAAUAGUCACCGUCGACUCCCUUUUCGUCAUUCUGUUACUAUU
Suricata suricatta (meerkat) is the source of this 1121-nucleotide long non-coding RNA. RefSeq lists it as uncharacterized. The record is from RefSeq and is a predicted model, not a curated record. The transcript has 4 exons. Lineage: Eukaryota; Metazoa; Chordata; Mammalia; Carnivora; Herpestidae.